GUGCCAGCCGCCGCGGUAAUACCGGCAGCUCAAGUGAUGUCCCAUAUUAUUGGGCCUAAAGCGUCCGUAGCUGGCCGCGCAAGUCCGUCGGGAAAUCCACCUGCCCAACAGGUGGGCGUCCGGCGGAAACUGUGUGGCUUGGAACCGGAAGGCUCAGAGAGUACGUCCGGGGUAGGAGUGAAAUCCCGUAAUCCCGGACGGACUACCGAUGGCGAAAGCACUCUGAGAAGACGGCUUCGACAGUGAGGGACGAAAGCUCGGGUCUCAAACCGGAUUAGAUACCCGAGUAGUCC
Molecule: ribosomal RNA, 293 nt
Filed under: uncultured bacterium
Lineage: Bacteria
Description: partial 16S ribosomal RNA
Rfam family: Archaeal small subunit ribosomal RNA
Source: RNAcentral